GACGAACGCUGGCGGCGUGCUUAACACAUGCAAGUCGAACGGAAAGGCCCUGCUUUUGUGGGGUGAUCGAGUGGCGAACGGGUGAGUAACACGUGAGUAACCUGCCCUUGACUUUGGGAUAACUUCAGGAAACUGGGGUUAAUACCGGAUAGGAGCUCCUGCUGCAUGGUGGGGGUUGGAAAGUUUCGGCGGUUGGGGAUGGACUCGCGGCUUAUCAGCUUGUUGGUGGGGUAGUGGCUUACCAAGGCUUUGACGGGUAGCCGGCCUGAGAGGGUGACCGGCCACAUUGGGACUGAGAUACGGCCCAGACUCCUACGGGAGGCAGCAGUGGGGAAUAUUGCACAGUGGGCGGAAGCCUGAUGCGGCAACGCCGCGUGCGGGAUGACGGCCUUCGGGUUGUAAACCGCUUUCGCCUAUGACGAAGCGUGAGUGACGGUAAUGGGUAAAGAAGCACCGGCUAACUACGUG
RNAcentral lists this ribosomal RNA (468 nucleotides) under uncultured bacterium. Its description in RNAcentral is "partial 16S ribosomal RNA". It matches the Rfam family "Bacterial small subunit ribosomal RNA", at positions 28 to 507 of the family's 1533-position model. The record is from RNAcentral.